CGGGAGUAACGCGUGGGUAACCGUGCCUCAUACAGGGGAGUAACAGUUAGAAAUGACUGCUAAUACCGCAUAAGCGCACAGUGCUGCAUGGCACAGUGUGAAAAACUCCGGUGGUAUGAGAUGGACCCGCGUCUGAUUAGCUAGUUGGUGGGGUAACGGCCUACCAAGGCGACGAUCAGUAGCCGGCCUGAGAGGGUGAACGGCCACAUUGGGACUGAGACACGGCCCAA
This 230-nucleotide ribosomal RNA is filed under the name uncultured bacterium. RNAcentral describes it as "partial 16S ribosomal RNA". It matches the Rfam family "Bacterial small subunit ribosomal RNA", at positions 106 to 334 of the family's 1533-position model. The record is from RNAcentral.